This 407-nucleotide ribosomal RNA is filed under the name uncultured bacterium. RNAcentral describes it as "partial 16S ribosomal RNA". It matches the Rfam family "Bacterial small subunit ribosomal RNA", at positions 29 to 526 of the family's 1533-position model. The record is from RNAcentral.
AUUGAACGCUGGCGGCAGGCCUAACACAUGCAAGUCGAGCGCCGCGGGGGACGGGGGAGUGAUGCCUAGUAAUUAGCCUGGUGGUGGGGGAUCACGUCGGGGAAGGGGCGCCAAUAAAGCAUACGUGCAGAGCAGCCUAGGGCGGAGUAGCUAGUUGGUGGGGUAAAGGCUUACCUAGGCGACGAGCCGUAGCUGGUCUGAGAGGAGGAUCAGUCACACUGGAACUGAGACACGGUCCAGACUCCUACGGGAGGCAGCAGGGGGGAAUAUUGGGCAAUGGACGAAAGCCUGACCGAGCCAUGCCGCGUGAGUGAAGAAGGUCUUCGGAUUGUAAAGCACUGUAGGUUGAGAGGCGUUACCAACAGAAAAAGCACCGGCUAACUACGUGCCAGCAGCCGCGGUAAUUC